RNAcentral lists this ribosomal RNA (402 nucleotides) under uncultured Rhodoplanes sp. Its description in RNAcentral is "bacterial SSU rRNA". It matches the Rfam family "Bacterial small subunit ribosomal RNA", at positions 355 to 774 of the family's 1533-position model. The record is from RNAcentral. Lineage: Bacteria; Pseudomonadati; Pseudomonadota; Alphaproteobacteria; Hyphomicrobiales; Nitrobacteraceae.
UGGGGAAUAUUGGACAAUGGGCGCAAGCCUGAUCCAGCCAUGCCGCGUGGAUGAUGAAGGCCCUAGGGUUGUAAAGUCCUUUCAGCGGGGAAGAUAAUGACGGUACCCGCAGAAGAAGCCCCGGCUAACUUCGUGCCAGCAGCCGCGGUAAUACGAAGGGGGCUGGCGUUGCUCGGAAUUACUGGGCGUAAAGCGCACGUAGGCGGAUCCUUAAGUCGGUGGUGAAAUCCUGAAGCUCAACUUCAGAACUGCCUUCGAUACUGGGGACCUUGAGUUCGGGAGAGGUGAGUGGAACUGCGAGUGUAGAGGUGAAAUUCGUAGAUAUUCGCAAGAACACCAGUGGCGAAGGCGGCUCACUGGCCCGAUACUGACGCUGAGGUGCGAAAGCGUGGGGAGCAAACA